RNAcentral lists this ribosomal RNA (429 nucleotides) under uncultured bacterium. RNAcentral's name for it is "bacterial SSU rRNA". It matches the Rfam family "Bacterial small subunit ribosomal RNA", at positions 16 to 459 of the family's 1533-position model. The record is from RNAcentral.
AUCCUGGCUCAGGAUCAACGCUGCGGCGUGCCUAAUGCAUGCAAGUCGCACGGGCACUCUUCGGAGUGUCAGUGGCGAACGGCUGAGGAACACGUGCGUAUCUGCCGGUUCGUGGGGAAUAACGCGGAGAAAUCCGCGCUAAUACCGCGUACGCUCACUCCUUCGGGGUGAGGAAAGCCUUCGGGCGCGGACGGAGGAGCGCGCGGCCCAUCAGGUAGAUGGCGGGGUAAUGGCCCACCAUGCCGGUGACGGGUCGCUGGUCUGAGAGGAUGCCCAGCCAGACUGGGACUGCGACACGGCCCAGACACCUACGGGUGGCAGCAGCAAGGAAUCUUCCGCAAUGGGCGCAAGCCUGACGGAGCAACGCCGCGUGGAGGACGACGGCCUUCGGGUUGUAAACUCCUUUUGUGGGGGAUGAUACGGACAGUA